AAAUAGAAAAAUAAAAC
Molecule: small RNA, 17 nt
Filed under: Arabidopsis thaliana (thale cress)
Lineage: Eukaryota; Viridiplantae; Streptophyta; Magnoliopsida; Brassicales; Brassicaceae
Description: ATSL140360
Source: RNAcentral